This 253-nucleotide ribosomal RNA is filed under the name uncultured bacterium. RNAcentral describes it as "partial 16S ribosomal RNA". It matches the Rfam family "Bacterial small subunit ribosomal RNA", at positions 524 to 776 of the family's 1533-position model. The record is from RNAcentral.
UACGUAGGGUGCAAGCGUUGUCCGGAAUUAUUGGGCGUAAAGAGCUCGUAGGCGGUUCGUCGCGUCGGCUGUGAAAACUCGAGGCUCAACCUCGAGACGUCGGUUGAAACCGUUUGGCUAGAGUCCGGAAGAGGAGAGUGGAAUUCCCGGUGUAGCGGUGAAAUGCGCAGAUAUCGGGAAGAACACCCGUGGCGAAGGCGGCUCUCUGGGGCGGUACUGACGCUGAGACGCGAAAGCGUGGGGAGCGAACAGG